Molecule: long non-coding RNA, 477 nt
Filed under: Parus major (Great Tit)
Lineage: Eukaryota; Metazoa; Chordata; Aves; Passeriformes; Paridae
Description: lncRNA (ENSPMJG00000003215.1)
Source: RNAcentral
UAUAGGGUACUUUUUGGAAUAAAUCUGUGUUGGUAUUUCCAAGGAACCAUUUUCCUGCCCUUCCCAUUCAAACCAGGACUUGAUCUCUGGACAGUCUUUGGAACUGGAGUUCUAUGCUGUGGCUCAGGACUCAGCUGGGAUGACACCAACACCAGUUUCUUGAGCACCUGAGAUGCUUGCUGCUUCCCAGACUUUUCUGAUGGUAUUUGUUCCUGCUUCCAUAAGCAUUUAAAAACUUCUUCCUUCAAGAUCUCCUGGUCUGCUGCUUGGUUCUUUUCUGUGCUUCAGCCCUCAAAGUGACCAGAGUUUGGCUUGUGUUUCUAGCAGGGCUGGUCAAAUACCAGCACAGACCAACCUAUUCUGCAGCCAGAAUGAGCUGAAUGUGGAAAUAUCCAGAAAACAUCCAAACUGAUUGCUAUUCAUCACAUAAAUUAUGAAACCUUUCAUCAAGAACAGAGCCAGCUGUUACUGUUUUUA